CCUCUUCUGCUUCUAAUCAGCUUUAUUUUCAGAAAAUUUUUGUGACCGCGCGCAAUGCGGUCGGUAGAGUCAGUGUCUGUUGCACAAUGUGUAUUUUAAUAUUUUUCUGAGCAAAAUUAGCUCUCAUUAAAUUAGAUUAUUAAUUCAUUUAAAUUAUAAUUCGCAAAGAUAGAGUCAGUGAGUUCGCCUACUGUUACUUAAACGUGCGCGUAGUGUUUUAUUUUUCUUUUUUAGUAUUUUAUCUUGUUCAAUAUUCGUUUCCGGUAUUAAAGUGAGUGCUCAAGGGGAUAAGGCGUCUCCAGAAAAUCAAGAUCAUGUUUCAUAGCAUCAACUUGUUGGUAUAUUUUGGGGAAAAUCCAACGGUAACUCUAAAGCCAAAAAUAUUUUCUACAAUCUCCACUUCCCUUAAUCUUUUGAGGCUCUUAUGAUGCUUCAAAAGCAAAAAUGAUAUUUUUCACGGCAUUCACUUCCACCAUGGGUAUCUAGUUAAUGAGGAUCUUCACGAUAACUUUCUCUGAUUUAGUGCAGCAUCGAUAAUAACGUUCUUCACAUCUGUUGCGUGAGUCGCAUGCAUUUAAGUUCCUCCGGUUACUCAAUCAUGUCGUAGGACGAAAGGUCCGAAUCGGCACGUGUGACUGGUUGUCUACAUAGAAUUUUUGAUGAGCAUAGUGACCGCGGAUAUUUUUUAUAUCCGUGAGUAGUAACAUCUUUUUCAGGUUUUUUAUGUGUUAGAUCAGGAUAGGGCUUCUUGCACAUCGCGAUUUUAACAAUUAAUUUGAACAUAUACAAUUACAGUAAUUACUUGU
Molecule: long non-coding RNA, 806 nt
Organism: Frieseomelitta varia
Lineage: Eukaryota; Metazoa; Arthropoda; Insecta; Hymenoptera; Apidae
Exons: 4
Source: RefSeq, a predicted model, not a curated record